Molecule: long non-coding RNA, 906 nt
Organism: Paramisgurnus dabryanus
Lineage: Eukaryota; Metazoa; Chordata; Actinopteri; Cypriniformes; Cobitidae
Source: RefSeq, a predicted model, not a curated record
AAUUGUAAUAAGCUAACAUUGAACUUUCCUCAAGCAUUUCAACAUUAUAUCAUUCCGAUUGCAUUCAAAGAUUUGCUUAAAAUCUUACGUUUGCUAGUGUUUGUUUUCAAACAACACACGUGACUAAACCUGAUUGGUUGUUGUCAUAGUAACACGUCAUGGCGCUAUUUGAAAGCUGUUGUUCAGUUCGGUUCACGAGGUGCAUGCGAUUGCUUGCAUUAAACGUAUAAACUGUUAAAUUAGAUGGCGACUCUGCAUUAAACGUAUUUAUUUAAUUAAUCGGCGAUCAUAUUUCACCAGAGGACUAAGAUAAAACAACUCGAUUUAAAAUGUGAGCAGUUUUAGUGGAUCUGACGUUGAGGGAAAAAGUAUUUCGCUUUUUGUUUGGAGAUGAACGAGACAACACGAGGCACAGCGACAUAAAUAUGACCAACCAGAUCCCAAGUAGACAGGAAAAAUGAAGAUAUAGCGCAUAGAAAGACUUAUUCUUGGUGAUCAACUGCUAUUGACAUUUUUGAAUCGGGGCAAAUGUGGAGUGAAGAAAAACGUUUGCAACACAUCCAUUCCAGAGUGCUCUGACAGAUAAAACUGACACGCUUGACGAGGACACAGUCAAAGCUUUAAAAGGUAAACUGAGAAGUUAACAAAACUUCCAUACAUGCAUAUCUAUGCCAAUUUAUUUUAAACAUGGAUAUCCAAAUGUUCAUUCAUUAUUGGUUAAUUGGUAUAUUCUGUUUCCUUUUCACAGCCCGUGUGAUAAAGCAGUCUUCAAUUACUACGGUGUCUGAAUUGCAAGAAGAAGUGACCCUCCACUUAAACAUGUGACAUCUAAACUGUUUUGUGUUUUAGUUCAGCUUUUUAUAGGUUUAUCUUAAGUUGGUUAAAGGCGGAGUGCACUAUUUUUGA